AUUGAACGCUGGCGGAAUGCUUUACACAUGCAAGUCGAACGGCAGCACGGACUUCGGUCUGGUGGCGAGUGGCGAACGGGUGAGUAAUGUAUCGGAACGUGCCCAGUCGUGGGGGAUAACGUAGUGAAAAUUACGCUAAUACUGCAUACGAUCUAUGGAUGAAAGCGGGGGAUCGCAAGACCUCGCGCGAUUGGAGCGGCCGAUAUCAGAUUAGGUAGUUGGUGGGGUAAAGGCCCACCAAGCCAACGAUCUGUAGCUGGUCUGAGAGGACGACCAGCCACACUGGAACUGAGACACGGUCCAGACUCCUACGGGAGGCAGCAGUGGGGAAUUUUGGACAAUGGGCGAAAGCCUGAUCCAGCCAUUCCGCGUGCAGGAUGAAGGCCCUCGGGUUGUAAACUGCUUUUGUACAGAACGAAAAGGUUUCUACUAAUACUAGGAGCUCAUGACGGUACUGUAAGAAUAAGCACCGGCUAACCACGUGCCAGCCGCCGCAGUAA
This 500-nucleotide ribosomal RNA is filed under the name uncultured bacterium. RNAcentral's name for it is "partial 16S ribosomal RNA". It matches the Rfam family "Bacterial small subunit ribosomal RNA", at positions 30 to 523 of the family's 1533-position model. The record is from RNAcentral.